CCUACGGGAGGCAGCAGUGGGGAAUAUUGCUCAAUGGGCGAAACCCUGAUGCAGCAACGCCGCGUGGGGGAAGGAGCGUUUCCGCGCGUAAAGCCCUGUCAGCGGGGAAGAAGAAAGACGGUACCCGACCAAGAAGCCCCGGCUAACUACGGGCCAGCAGCCUCGGUAAUACGUAGGGGGCGAGCGUUAUCCGGAAGUACGGGGGGUAAAGGGAGCGUAGACGGGGAGGUGAGCCUGAAGUGGAAGCCCGCGGCGCAAACGCGGAACUGCCGUGGGAACUGGUUGGCUGGAGUAUGGGAGGGGUAAGCGGAAUGCGUGGUGUAGCGGUGAAAUGCGUAGAUAUCAGGAGGAACACCGGUGGCGAAGGCAGCGUACUGGACCAUGACUGACGUUGAGGCUCGAAAGCGUGGGGAGCGAACAGGAUUAGAUACCCUGGUAGUC
Molecule: ribosomal RNA, 441 nt
Filed under: uncultured bacterium
Lineage: Bacteria
Description: partial 16S ribosomal RNA
Rfam family: Bacterial small subunit ribosomal RNA
Source: RNAcentral